Long non-coding RNA from Oncorhynchus kisutch (coho salmon), 905 nucleotides. RefSeq lists it as uncharacterized. The transcript has 5 exons. NCBI's taxonomy places the organism in Eukaryota, Metazoa, Chordata, Actinopteri, Salmoniformes, Salmonidae. The record is from RefSeq and is a predicted model, not a curated record.
UCACACCUUGGCCAAUGGCCAUAUAGAAGGAGUUACUAUCCUUGUAAACUCAGUCAGCUCAUCAUUUCACAGCAAACGAGGAGGUGUAACUGGAGCGGCUGUUGAGUUGAAUGGAGUUCAACAGACCCAAAGGGCCUGUAGAUGGAGCGGGAGUGGUCCUGAGCCCGCUGGAUGAGAUCCAGCCUGGGAGGAGUGAAUGGGUGCUUGCAGAGCAUGGAGGGUUAGGAGGGCUGUCUGCAACAGACACCACUAACGCAGCCAAGACAGAGCCCAAAGACCCUGCAGGAGGAUCUGGAAAGCCUACACCGGCCAAACCUGGAUGACGCUGGGGCAAAUGUGCGCCGCCUUAUGGGACUCCCAAUCACGGCCAGUUGUGAUACAGCCUGGAAUCAAACCAGGGAUUCCAGUUCAUCCUCCUCCUCCUCUGACAGCAGCUCUUCAGACAGUGAAGAAGAGGAAGAAGGAAAAGAGAAGACGCUGGGGAUAUCAUAGUACACGGUGUAGCCUUCAUAUCUGAGUCUGGUGAGUGACGCCUGUGUUUAUUUUUGAUUUAUUUCACCUUUUAUUUAACUAGGCAAGACAGUUAAGAACAAAUUCUUAUUUUCAAUGAUGGCCUAGAGAACAGUGGGUUAACUGCCUUGUUCAGGGGCAGAACGACAGAUUUUUACCUUGUCAGCUUGGGGAUUCGAAGUCCAACGCUCUAACCACUAGGUUACCUGCCGCCCCAUGUGUGUUCGUGAUGGUGUACUGAAAACCACGCACUGUAGUAAAUGACUGUCUUUAUAUACAAAUGACCCACCUUGUAACCAGUGGUGGAAAAAGUACUAAAUUCUCAUACUUGAGUAAAAGUCAAGAUACCUUAACAGAAAAUGACUCAAGUAAAAUUCCCCCAGUAAAAUACUACU